AUGAACUUGGGACAACAUGCCGAUGACAUGCCGGGUAAUAAUGGUAGUGGCAAGCAGGCUGUUUGGACAACUGCCAUGUCGUCCUUUGUGCUUAAGUUCAUGGCUAACCUAGUGACUAGUGGAACUAGAGCCUCCAACAGUUUCAGGCAAGUUCACCAUAAAAGCUGUGCAAAGGCUUUGAACGAGCGUUUCAAGCUUCAAGUAACUGCUGCUCAGAUUUCUAACCACCUUCGGAAGUGGAAAAGAAUAUGGGGAAGGGUUAACAAGCUCAAGAACUUAAGUGGUGCUCUUUGGGAUGAGCAUACAUGCACCAUUGUGCUUGAUCAGGAGCAUUAUGCCAGUCACGUUAAGGUAGGAUUGCACCGUAUGUUGUUUCCACAUGGUGGUGUCAUUGUUGCUUCUGUUUUGUCUAAUAUUUUGUGUAUUACUUGGCAGGACCACCAUAGUGAUGCAGACAUGUUGAACACUCCGAUUGAGCACUAUCAUCAGAUGGCUACAAUCUGUGGCAACGGUAUGGUUUCAGGUGUAUAUGCUAGCAGGAGUAGCAAUGAGCUUCUUUCCACAGACGUGGCUGAUGAUGAAUUUGAAAAUGAAGAUACCAAUGGGGAGAGUGACCCUCUUACUACAAAUGUGACUGAGAAUGAAAUGGAAAACAGAAAAACUAGUGAAGCGAGUAACCCUCUUGCUAUAGUUGUGAUCGAGAAUGGCAAAACCUGUGAAGAGGCCACAAAAUCUUUUACUAACACUGAUGGAGGAAACUUUGGUGAUCCCUCUGGCAGCUUACCACCACCAAAGAAGGCCAAGAUGUCUCACUUGGAUUUAUCACAACAAUGCGAUGCUCCAGCUAUGCAGCCAGACGUGGGUAUAUCACAUGGAAUGAACUUGGAACAGCAUGCGGAUAACAUUGGGGGUACUAAUGGUGGUGGUGGGCAACUUGUUUGGACAAAUGCCAUGUCAACCUUUGUGCUUCAGUUCUUGACUAACCUAGUGGCCAGUGGAACUAGACCCUCUCAUGUUUUCAAGCAAGUUCAUCUUAAAAGUUGUGCUCAAGCUUUGAGUGAGCAUUUCAGGGUUCAAGUGAAUGCUGCACAGAUUUCUAACCAUCUUAGGAAAUGGAAGAAAAUGUGGAAAAAGGUUAACAUACUCAAGAGUUUAAGUGGCGCUCUUUGGGAUGCGAACACUUACACCAUUGUGCUUGAUCAUGAGCAUUACACAGCUCACGUUAAGGACCACCAUCAUGAUGCCGACUUCUUGAACACUCCAAUUAAGAACUAUCGUGAGAUGGCGUCAAUCUUUGUCAAAGGCAUGGCUUCAUCCAGGCCAGCUAGGAGUAGCAAUGAGUCUCUUGCUAGAGACGUGCUUGAGAAUGGAAUCGAAAACGAAAACGUGAAUGGAGGGACUGACCUUAUUGCUAAAGGAGUUGAAGGGGCCGCAAUGUCUUUUACUAACACUGAUGAAGGAGACAGCGGUGAUUCCUCUGGCAGUUUGCCACCCCCACCCCGACCAAAGAAGGCCAAGGUAAAAAAUGAUGACAGCCUGCUAUGCACGAUGACCCGUGUUCUCGAUCGCCUAGCAGAAGCCAUAGAGAAGUGCAGUAGGAGAGACACUGAUGUCCCCGACGACCUUUGGGCGAACAUGAAGGGCCUCCCGGGGUUUGAACAGGAGCAUCUUGCCCACUACUAUGCUUAUUUGUGCGAGAAUGCUCACGUUGCCAGGGCAUUCGACAAGCUUAGCGUGCCUCACAAAACGAUCUGGGUUAAUAGGUACAUCAAGAACCACCUCUCGGCCUAG
RNAcentral lists this ribosomal RNA (1791 nucleotides) under Triticum aestivum (bread wheat). RNAcentral describes it as "partial small subunit ribosomal RNA". The record is from RNAcentral. Lineage: Eukaryota; Viridiplantae; Streptophyta; Magnoliopsida; Poales; Poaceae.